CCUACGGGAGGCUGCAGUGAGGAAUAUUAGUCAAUGGACGAGAGUCUGAACCAGCCAAGUAGCGUGAAGGAUGACUGCCCUAUGGGUUGUAAACUUCUUUUAUAUGGGAAUAAAACGUUCCACGUGUGGGAUUUUGUAUGUACCAUAUGAAUAAGGAUCGGCUAACUCCGUGCCAGCAGCCGCGGUAAUACGGAGGAUCCGAGCGUUAUCCGGAUUUAUUGGGUUUAAAGGGAGCGUAGGUGGAUUGUUAAGUCAGUUGUGAAAGUUUGCGGCUCAACCGUAAAAUUGCAGUUGAAACUGGCAGUCUGGAGUACAGUAGAGGUGGGCGGAAUUCGUGGUGUAGCGGUGAAAUGCUUAGAUAUCACGAAGAACUCCGAUUGCGAAGGCAGCUCACUGGACUGCAACUGACACUGAGGCUCGAAAGUGUGGGUAUCAAACAGGAUUAGAUACCCUGGUAGUC
Molecule: ribosomal RNA, 460 nt
Filed under: uncultured bacterium
Lineage: Bacteria
Description: partial 16S ribosomal RNA
Rfam family: Bacterial small subunit ribosomal RNA
Source: RNAcentral